RNAcentral lists this ribosomal RNA (429 nucleotides) under Bacteroidota bacterium. RNAcentral describes it as "Bacteroidetes bacterium partial 16S ribosomal RNA". It matches the Rfam family "Bacterial small subunit ribosomal RNA", at positions 355 to 776 of the family's 1533-position model. The record is from RNAcentral. Lineage: Bacteria; Pseudomonadati; Bacteroidota.
GAGGGAAUCUUCCGCAAUGGACGCAAGUCUGACGGAGCAACGCCGCGUGAGUGAAGAAGGAUUUCGGUUCGUAAAACUCUGUUGUUAGAGAAGAACAGCGCAUAGAGUAACUGUUAUGCGUGUGACGGUAUCUAACCAGAAAGCCACGGCUAACUACGUGCCAGCAGCCGCGGUAAUACGUAGGUGGCAAGCGUUGUCCGGAUUUAUUGGGCGUAAAGCGAGCGCAGGCGGUCAAUUAAGUCUGAUGUGAAAGCCCCCGGCUCAACCGGGGAGGGUCAUUGGAAACUGGUUGACUUGAGUGCAGAAGAGGAGAGUGGAAUUCCAUGUGUAGCGGUGAAAUGCGUGGAUAUAUGGAGGAACACCAGUGGCGAAGGCGACUCUCUGGUCUGUAACUGACGCUGAGGCUCGAAAGCGUGGGGAGCGAACAGG